This 2433-nucleotide long non-coding RNA is filed under the name Triticum aestivum (bread wheat). Its description in RNAcentral is "long non-coding RNA (TAES_LNC006454)". Lineage: Eukaryota; Viridiplantae; Streptophyta; Magnoliopsida; Poales; Poaceae. The record is from RNAcentral.
AGAAAACACGUGAAAUAUUUCAAAUAUUAUCAACCAUCAAAGUGUUACAUCAUAUAAUAACACACAUACAAAUGUGAUAGCAUCAAGUUUACAAUCAGAUAACAAGCUCCACAAGUGCAUAAUCACAUGAGCCAGAUUCUGCUACAUCAUAUAACACACAUACAAAUAGGAGCAGCAUAAAGGGCUUCAUUACUCUCAGAACUAGCUCCAAUGAGCUAGAACUACUCUUCCACCGACUUCUUUGUCCUGAUGCUCAUGAAGAAGCAAGAAAGCCCAGCAUCUACACCUUACAGAACAAAAUGUUUAGGAACAAAAUAGAAGUAAAUCUAACAGCAUAUUUAACAAUAAAUAACAGAAUAGUGAAGCUAAUGAGACAUUUUAGAAUCAACUUGACAGUUGACAGUAAUGUUUGCAUUGGACACAUCCAAAACUAAAAUUAUACAUAAAUGCCUAAAUUCCAAUGCCCAAUGCCUCAGUUUAGUAAAUCUGCAUAUUUCGACAAAUCUCAUCAUCCUAAAGACAACAAAGCCUGCUUGGUAAUAUUUUAGGCGUUAAUAAUGCUUUACUCAUAAAAGAACAUUGCCAAAGUGAUUAGAUGGCAUUCGAAAACUCAAAAGAUAAGCCAUAUAGCUUUGUUUAAUAUUACUAAGAUAUAUAUCCAUUAGUUUGUUUUAACAUGGAACCCAAGAGUAUGUGACUCUAGCACCCUCAGAAAAUUGUUAAUAUGCCAUCAUACUAGCUGAUAGACAAACAUUCCAGGAAGAAUAUAUGCUUGUUUAACAGGUACAAUUGGUACUGCUAUCUCUAACAGACAAAUUUAAAGUUUUUUAUACAUUUAUUUUCUAUUAGCAAAACUGAAUAUGCUACUUCCUGAUUCUUGGCUGCAUAGUCCAGCUAGCUACACCAGUUUGCUCUCAUGCAAAAAUUAGAAAGAAAAAAAGAACAACAAAUAAAUCAACACUGACUUCUCUAACAUGUACAGUAACUUGCUGAUAUAACUUUCUCCUAAUUGCAUUCUCAUAUGACGGGGCCAACAUGUGAUGUUACUAUUCGGUUAAGAUUUGGGCCUUCCAACUUUACUGGUCAUACAUACAUAUACAGAAUUGAGCAUGAAUCAUUGGUCUUAGUUGUAUUCCAAUAUGUACUCAACAUAUUCCAAUAAGACAGAAAUGCACACACAUGGAUUCACAAUUAGACUAUGCCUCUCUCUCUCACUCAUUUGCAAGAAACGUUCUCUCCCUCUCUCUACUGAUGACCAUCAACACAAUUCUGUAGGGUUGUAAACUGAUUUUUGAGAGAAUAGACAGUCAAUUUGUGUGCUGAUUGGACCUAGUUUUAAAGAAACAAAAAGGAUUGGCAGCAUAGGGAGAGGGAGAGGGAGAUGGAGAUGGACGUGCUACCUGCUACUGCGGGGGUGCAUCAUGGUGGCCUGCUUGAGCUCCUCCUCCUAAUGCUGCUCACUAACCUGCAGGACAAACAAGGCCAUAGGUGAGCUGCACAAAGGCAUUUCCUGAUGAUUUACUGAGUUCAUGGCCACCUAAAAAAAUAUUAGAGGGACAUGAUAAGGAGCUGUAAAAUACAAAGAGCCGCCUAGAACUAUACCGAAUAGUAAUGCAUUUAUUCAAGAAUAUGAAGUUCACCAAUUGUUCCAAAAAACAAGGAAAAAUACUUGUUGAUGUUUCAAGUGCAGUAGAAUAUAUGCAAGUCCCAAGCAUCAAGAUGACUACUGUAGUCGAUUGAUAGCAGUAAAUGUAUACAACACCUAACACUGCUUGACAAUUGAGGUAAUUAAACAUGAGAGAACUUAUUACAUAUGCUUUUCUUGAUCCAACGUUAUAACAUGUUACUGCUAUGCUAUUGUGAUUAAAAGAGUAAGAUUUGAUCAAGCCUAUGUCAUGCAUAACAGGAACAUAUUAUAAAAUACAGAAUGGUAGUUCGGUUGCUCGGUUCCAAGAAUGUCAGGGCCACCCAGCUAGCUAAGUUUGACAUUGCUUGGUUGGAGAAGCAUUACAUUUAUGUGGUGGUGGCUGGCUGGCAAUCAUGGCUGCUAGCUCAUGCUGCCAGUAUGCGUGCACAUCUCCCCACUGGAACCAACCCAACCCAAAUGAAACAACAGUAGCAAAUCACACAUGUACCAGUAAACUUCAGUAUGAAACAGUUUCUCGCCGAAAGAAACUACCAAAGCAUUUCCAAGAAUUUCGAAGAAACCGCCUAAGUCGAUUCAGCCACUUCACAAUGAGAUCGCUUUCGCCUACUUGCUGGUCUCGAGGUCGCCGUCGCCGCUCACCACUAGUAGUCUCUGGCCACUCUUCGUCGCCACUUGCGCCACCCAUGCACUCGCUGGUCACUGGCUGCGUCUUCCGCUCCCUGCUCGUUGACAUGGCCAAUGACCACAAUGUUGAUGUGGGUCUCGUCCCUUACCCAUGGCUGAAA